CCUACGGGAGGCAGCAGUAGGGAAUAUUGCUCAAUGGGGGAAACCCUGAAGCAGCAAAGCCGCGUGGAGGAUGAAGGUUUUCGGAUUGUAAACUCCUUUUGUUAGAGAAGAUAAUGACGGUAUGUAACGAAUAAGCAACGGCUAACUCCGUGCCAGCAGCCGCGGUAAUAGGGAGGGUUCAAGCGUUACUCGGAAUCACUGGGCGUAAUGAGCGCGUAGGCGGGAUAGCAAGGCAGAUGUGAAAUCCUAUGGCUUAACCAUAGAACUGCAUUUGAAACUGUUAUUCUAGAGUAUGGGAGAGGUAGGUGGAAUGCUUGGUGUAGGGGUAAAAUCCGUAGAGAUCAAGAGGAAUACUCAUUGCGAAGGCGACCUGCUAGAACAUAACUGACGCUGAUGCGCGAAAGCGUGGGGAGCAAACAGGAUUAGAUACCCCGGUAGUC
Molecule: ribosomal RNA, 440 nt
Filed under: uncultured bacterium
Lineage: Bacteria
Description: partial 16S ribosomal RNA
Rfam family: Bacterial small subunit ribosomal RNA
Source: RNAcentral